RNAcentral lists this long non-coding RNA (294 nucleotides) under Solanum tuberosum (potato). Its description in RNAcentral is "long non-coding RNA (STUB_LNC001029)". Lineage: Eukaryota; Viridiplantae; Streptophyta; Magnoliopsida; Solanales; Solanaceae. The record is from RNAcentral.
CAGUUCAUUAGCUAAUGUCUCCAACAGAUCUUUUCUCCUCACACAACGACUUUCAUACUCAACACUGCAACGUAAUAUAACUGACUUUAGAUGACUAUUGACUUCAAAAAUAAAAAUGUUGGCUGACGAAUGAUCAGUCCAUCCAAUAGUCGGAAGGAAGACAUACUCAACCACGUUAUUCAAAAUGAACUUAAUUUCAUUGUUGAAAUCAUAGGGAUUUGGACAUUAAAACCACGUCACUCUGUACUUGUGAACAAUACAAAAAAUUGGGUAUGUAGCAUCCUCUGAAUNNNN